RNAcentral lists this ribosomal RNA (494 nucleotides) under uncultured bacterium. Its description in RNAcentral is "bacterial SSU rRNA". It matches the Rfam family "Bacterial small subunit ribosomal RNA", at positions 29 to 516 of the family's 1533-position model. The record is from RNAcentral.
AACGAACGCUGGCGGCGCGCCUAAUACAUGCAAGUCGAACGAGAAGGUGUAGCAAUACACUUGUACAGUGGCGAACGGGUGAGGAAUGCAUGGGCAACCUACCCUCGAGUGGGGAAUAACCAGCCGAAAGGUUGGCUAAUACCGCGUACGCUUCCGGGUCUCCGGAUCCGGAAGGAAAGUCACACCGUGGGUGUGACGCUCAAGGAUGGGCUCAUGUCCUAUCAGCUGUUGGUGAGGUAACGGCUCACCAAGGCAACGACGGGUAGCUGGCCUGAGAGGACGAUCAGCCACACUGGCACUGCGACACGGGCCAGACUCCUACGGGAGGCAGCAGUAAGGAAUAUUGCGCAAUGGGCGAAAGCCUGACGCAGCGACGCCGCGUGGGGGAUGAAGGUCUUCGGAUUGUAAACCUCUUUCGGGAGGGAAGAGUGGAACGAGCAAUCGUUCGGACGGUACCUCCAGAAGCAGCCACGGCUAACUUCGUGCCAGCAGCC